RNAcentral lists this ribosomal RNA (484 nucleotides) under uncultured bacterium. RNAcentral describes it as "partial 16S ribosomal RNA". It matches the Rfam family "Bacterial small subunit ribosomal RNA", at positions 30 to 507 of the family's 1533-position model. The record is from RNAcentral.
AUUGAACGCUGGCGGCAGGCCUAACACAUGCAAGUCGAGCGGAUGAAGGGAGCUUGCUCCUGGAUUCAGCGGCGGACGGGUGAGUAAUGCCUAGGAAUCUGCCUGGUAGUGGGGGAUAACGUCCGGAAACGGGCGCUAAUACCGCAUACGUCCUGAGGGAGCAAGUGGGGGAUCUUCGGACCUCACGCUCUCAGAUGAGCCUAGGUCGGAUUAGCUAGUUGGUGGGGUAAAGGCCUACCAAGGCGACGAUCCGUAACUGGUCUGAGAGGAUGAUCGGUCACACUGGAACUGAGACACGGUCCAGACUACUACGGGAGGCAGCAGUGGGGAAUAUUGGACAAUGGGCGAAAGCCUGAUCCAGCCAUGCCGCGUGUGUGAAGAAGGUCUUCGGAUUGUAAAGCACUUUAAGUUGGGAGGAAGGGCAGUAAGUUAAUACCUUGCUGUUUUGACGUUACCAACAGAAUAAGCACCGGCUAACUUCGUG